UACGGAGAGUGCAAGCGUUAUCCGGAUUUACUGGGUUUAAAGGGUGCGUAGGCGGAUAGGUAAGUCAGAGGUGAAAGCCUGGAGCUUAACUCCAGAACUGCCUUUGAUACUAUCUAUCUUGAAUAUUGUGGAGGUUUGCGGAAUAUGUCAUGUAGCGGUGAAAUGCUUAGAUAUGACAUAGAACACCUAUUGCGAAGGCAGCAGGCUACACAUAUAUUGACGCUGAGGCACGAAAGCGUGGGGAUCAAAC
RNAcentral lists this ribosomal RNA (250 nucleotides) under uncultured bacterium. RNAcentral's name for it is "partial 16S ribosomal RNA". It matches the Rfam family "Bacterial small subunit ribosomal RNA", at positions 524 to 773 of the family's 1533-position model. The record is from RNAcentral.